This is an RNA transcript of Amaranthus tricolor (Joseph's coat), 4149 nucleotides long. It is a transcript of the gene named TATA box-binding protein-associated factor RNA polymerase I subunit B, with no coding region annotated. The record is from RefSeq and is a predicted model, not a curated record. Lineage: Eukaryota; Viridiplantae; Streptophyta; Magnoliopsida; Caryophyllales; Amaranthaceae. The transcript has 8 exons.
AAAUCAACAUUGUAACCAUUCACCAUUUUUUUCUCCCUCCUCCUUGAUCCCUUUACAUCUUCUCACAGUCCACCGCCAACACUGCCGUCUUCAGUCUGCUUGUCUUUAACAGUCACCACCUAGGCGCCCGCCGGAGCUCCCAGCUGCCUCAGGCGACACCAACUUGCCGACACUCGCUGGGGCAGACAUUCUUCUCUAAUUUCUUUAGCAGGUCAUCAAUUUUUCCAUCACGCAACAACCACUAAUGGCGGAAGUCGACGCAAGCCAAUUAGUGUGCACCAUAUGCGAUCAUCAAGGCCUUUAUGCUGACGACGAUGGUCACUUUUAUUGCUCUAAUUGCAACUCACAAGCCGAAGGUCUCGUCGACUUGGCUAACGAUGAUGACUUUAUUGGAAUGGGGGAUGGUGGCGGUGGCGGAGGUCUCUACUCCGUUGCCCACAAACGCAGUGUUCACCAAUAUUCUUCAGUUGAACCCCAAGUCGACCAUGUGGGUCCCAUUGAACCUGCUGAUUUUGGGAGAACCCCAAAAGGGAUGAUUUUUAAUGCAGAACAGUAUUAUAAUGCUCUGCGAAUGAGAUAUGUUUUGGGUGUUCAGUUGAUGCUACAGCUUCAGUGUGAAGCUCUUGUUGAGAAAUGCGGGGUUACUCCAUUGAUUUGUGGGAUUUCUGGUUCUAUUUGGUCGCGCUUUGUUGCUUCUGCCCAGAUUUUUCAUAAUGGUUGGGCUGAUCAAACUGUGUUAGACUCUGAAAAAGGGGAAAGGAGACAACACAUAGGAAAUUCUCGUAAAAAUGAGCCUCGAAAUCUGCAUAAUGAACGUAUGGUAGUGAUAUGGUGUAGAUCCUUGAAAAAGGCGAUUCCCCUGUCAAGUUCCUUAGCUAUUUCGUAUUUGGCUUGUCAUAUUGCUAGGGAACCAGUACUUCCUAAUGAUAUAGCAAAGUGGGCUAUUGAAGGAAAGCUUCCUUACUUUGGUGUUUUCCCUAAAAUUGCAGAGUCCAUCAAACAAAUUGAGAGGUAUAAUCAACAUGUUUCCGUCAUAUGUCCUAUACAAGCAAGUUCUUUGUUUAGCCCUUCAAAUCUUCCUACAGAGAAACUAGAGUCUAUGGCAGCAUCUAUAGCUCAGUCUGUAGGCUUGAGUCUACCUCCCGUUAACUUUUACAAAAUAGCCUGUCGUUAUUUGAAGCAGUUAUCACUUCCAGUAGAUAAACUCAUUCCAUUUGUAUGCCGCAUACACGAGUGGUGCAUGCCUCCUGAUUUAUGGUUGUGUACAAGAGCGGAAAAGCUUCCUAGUCGUGUUUGUGUGAUGUCAAUACUGAUUGUAACAAUGAGGAUUCUUUAUAACCUUAAUGGUUUUGGCAAAUGGGAAAGAGCUGUUUCUGCUCCAAUUGACUCCUCUUCUAUGAAUGAUCAGACAACAAGGUUUGACAAGUCCAAUGCAAAGAGAGGUGAUGAAGAUGUUUCUGGAAAACAUAGAACAAAGUCGUCAGUUCAUAAAUUUGAAUCUGAAAGUAUUGAGCUUUUGCACAAUCUUGAAAGAAGAUACGAUGCCUUUAGUAAUAAAUUUGAAUAUUCCAAGGAUUUACCAACCUAUCUGCAGUACUGCGAGGAUGUCUUAUUUGCUGGCUUAGAGCCGUCGUACAGGGAGUCUACUUUGAGAGAAGAACUUUGGAGCUUUUUUAAAACGAACCGAGAGGACAUUAAGAUAUUUGAGGAAAUUAAAGCUGAAUCAGUUCUGAAAAGGUCAAGGGACUAUGACAUACUCAAUACCCCGUUAAAUGACAAUAAGAAAAAUAGGGAUGAGAAGAUGGCCAGUUCUCUAUCAACUCGUAUCGGAUCUCAUUUUCCCACUUACUGCUCUAAGAUGGAACCAGAUACUGAUAGUAAUCACCAAAUUUCACACACUCAUAAAGGUCCAGAAACUCUUUAUGAUGGUGAAGCAUCAGCCAAAAUUUUAGGAGAGAUAUCACUUAGACAUCUGAAAAAGGACAUGGAAGAAAACCGUUUCUGUUACAUUCCACCAAGGACAGAAAUCAAGAGACAUGAUUAUAUGCACUAUAAGAGGAAGAAGGGUGAUGGUUCCUUAGAUUAUGUUGCCCAUGCUGAUUAUUAUAUCCUACUUCGAGCUUGUGCAAAAGUGGCUGAAGUAGAUAUUCGAAUUAUGCAUGUUGGCGUUCUCAAUUUGGAGAGAAGAUUGGAUUGGACUGAAGAGAGUAUUGAUAAUAGUUUGCGAAGAAAAUGUCCUGAUGGUACUGCCGAGGUCAGCAUUGAUUUAGGUGGUGAUUCUGUCGAUUUAUCAAAUCUAAAUCUGUGACCUCUCUGUUUAUUUAUCAAGAGGAGGAAAAGGCCUUUUUCGAAGAUCUAGAGUAUAUGCAUAUAGAAUAUUGCUGGGGUCUUCUUAAAGUCAGAAGACAUUCUCUUGCAAGAAAUUACUUAAAGGAUACGGAAGGAUCAGUUUGCCAAAUGAUAAGGCACCAUGGAAUAGAUCCUUGACCUUAGUCAGCCUCUCGCUUUGCUCAUUCCUGCUGUUAAAGCCUGUCUAAUAGGCACACAGUAGGUUUAGUUGAUUUAAAAAGGCGAUGAUUUUGAAUUCAAUAGUCUACAAGUCCGCCUCUGAAAGCAAAGUUGGAAGAAUUCUGUUGCCUUAUCCGAUGAUGAUAGCGCUAGCCCUCUUGAGCCAGGAUCAAACCUUCUUGUGUUUAGGCCAGUCGCUAAACAAAUCCUCAGGAAAGGAACCUAUCUAUAUGCCUAGCUCUGAUAGCGAGAGAUUACUUUUUCACAGCAUCAAUUCUAUCAUCCUCUCAGAUUUUCUCAAGACAACUCAAACAAAAGGUGUAAAACAUGGAAAAAUGGCUGCAAUUCAAGCUACUCAGCUGGCCGUAGGCAUGGACUUCUGGCCAGCAUCCCUGCUGACAGAAACUCGAUUGGCUAACCUGGUCCUGACCAUGGAGACAUGCUGCAAAUAUCUCAUGUUCUGGAGUAUAUUUUUGGCCUCUGUUGAGUUAUAGGGUUGUAUAACAUCAUCAUCAUCAUCAUCAUCAUCGUAAUCAAUGUAUCCCGCCAAUUGGAAACUAUAAUCAGGGUUUGGGGUGGGAAGAAAGACAGCAACAUUUUUACCCGUAAAAGAAGAUGAGGCCAACGAGUCUCUCGGCUCGAGACAUGAAGAUUCGACUGGAACACAUAUUGGUUAAACCAUUUUUUAUGAUCAUUUGAAUCCUUGCAAUUUGGCUUGUUAGAACUGCCACUGCCAAUCUACCAUUGCCUUUGCACGUACUCCCUUCGUCCUAUAGAAUUUACAACAUUUAAAUUUCUUAUGAGAGAGCUUUUUAGAAGAUAUGCAACAAAUUCAAUGGGAUUGAACGAGUAUAUGUAUAUAUAUUAUGUCAUUUAGGCAUUGUAUUUACGCAAUCUGUUACAUUCUAAUUGACAAUUUAAUAAUUUCUUUCUUUCAACUAAUUACAAAUUACUGACAAUUUAAUCUUUUCUUUCUUUCAAAUAAUUAAGUUACCUCAUAGUUAUAAGCCUUUAGUUAUGCCUUUGUAUUGCUACAAUUACAGAUACAAAAAUACAAUAAAGCUAUUGGUGCUUGUAUAUGCAUCUUAUUUGCUAAAAGUUUCAUCUUUAACAAGGCACACAUUAUCAUAAUCAAAAUUAAUACUCUUUGUCUUUUAUUUGUUUUUACCACUUGCUUUUUUAACAGAGGUAGAAUAAAACUAACAAAUAAUUUUAUGCCCUGGUGUGCUUUUUAUUUCUCAGCCACCUGUAGUUAUAUAUUAAAUAAUUGAUCUAUCUCGAUAUAACUGAGCGUAUUAUAAUUUAGUAUUGAAGGUUAUUAAAUUUUGAGAAUCUUCUGCAAUUAAACAUUUUACAAAUGCUGGGAACCUCUUAUACUUUUUAGAAUCUUAUAAACUAUACGUAAACCAAGACAUAUUAGGUUGUAUACAUUGGUAUUGCCUAUGAUAUCAAAAUCAAGAUUUGAUAUUUUGGCUCUCAAAGGCUCUUUUAAUUUGCUAAUUAGAGUGAUUAAUGGGUUAAACUUGUUGAUUUUAUCAAAUCGUGCAUGUCUUACUAUUAGCAGAAAUGACAUUGAAGUAACAAAAUGUACUAUCUAAUCUAACCAUAAUCUUAUCGUUAUAUAGGUAACAUUUAGCUGAC